RNAcentral lists this ribosomal RNA (450 nucleotides) under uncultured bacterium. RNAcentral describes it as "partial 16S ribosomal RNA". It matches the Rfam family "Bacterial small subunit ribosomal RNA", at positions 354 to 796 of the family's 1533-position model. The record is from RNAcentral.
GUAGGGAAUCUUCGGCAAUGGACGAAAGUCUGACCGAGCAACGCCGCGUGAGUGAAGAAGGGUUUCGGAUCGUAAAACUCUGUUGGUAGAGAAGAACGUUGGUGAGAGUGGAAAGCUCAUCAAGUGACGGUAACUACCCAGAAAGGGACGGCUAACUACGUGCCAGCAGCCGCGGUAAUACGUAGGUCCCGAGCGUUGUCCGGAUUUAUUGGGCGUAAAGCGAGCGCAGGUGGUUUAUUAAGUCUGGUGUAAAAGGCAGUGGCUCAACCAUUGUAUGCAUUGGAAACUGGUAGACUUGAGUGCAGGAGAGGAGAGUGGAAUUCCAUGUGUAGCGGUGAAAUGCGUAGAUAUAUGGAGGAACACCGGCGGCGAAAGCGGCUCUCUGGCCUGUAACUGACACUGAGGCUCGAAAGCGUGGGGAGCAAACAGGAUUAGAUACCCUAGUAGUCC